Molecule: long non-coding RNA, 567 nt
Organism: Lagopus leucura (white-tailed ptarmigan)
Lineage: Eukaryota; Metazoa; Chordata; Aves; Galliformes; Phasianidae
Exons: 3
Source: RefSeq, a predicted model, not a curated record
CGGAAAAAAAAAAGAGCGCUUUGUCCUCACCGACGGUGACUGAAGCUGCUGCGCGAGACGCUGCGGCGGCCCCCCGCCGCCCCCCGAUUCCAUCUGACGGCUCAGGUCUGCUGCCACAGAGCAGUGUUUAUUCAGCGCGUAAACAAAAGUGAAAGGAAUUAAGCGGGCAGAUCCGACAGCCCAGGGAAACGUUUCGGGCCCUUCAGCGUGGAGUUACUGCGCUCUUAGAGAAGAGGACGUUCCUACAACGGAAAGCAGGCAACCCAUCUGGCCAUUCCCAACCAAGAGACACAGAGCUCCAUGCUGGAAUAGUCAUGAGCAAAAGAUACAGAAAAUGCUGGACCCAAGAGCUGGAGACAAACGGCCCUGCCCAAGGAAAGUGCGUUACACAGCUUGCUGGCCAAGAAAGGGACCGCGUGGACCUGGGCUGCACAAAGAGCGGACCGCACGGAUUCACGGCAGCGUCUGCUGGCGGUCCUCGCCUUGCCUCGGGGGGCGCGGGGACCCCCGCGGGACAUAAACAAGCGGGGAGGUGAGGGUGCGAGACGGGGCUGCGCAGAGGAAGCU